AGAACGAACGCUGGCGGCAGGCUUAACACAUGCAAGUCGAACGCUCUCUUCGGAGAGAGUGGCAGACGGGUGAGUAACGCGUGGGAACCUACCCUUUACUACGGAAUAGCUCCGGGAAACUGGAAUUAAUACCGUAUGUGCCCUACGGGGGAAAGAUUUAUCGGUAAAGGAUGGGCCCGCGUUGGAUUAGCUAGUUGGUGGGGUAACGGCCUACCAAGGCGACGAUCCAUAGCUGGUCUGAGAGGAUGAUCAGCCACACUGGGACUGAGACACGGCCCAGACUCCUACGGGAGGCAGCAGUGGGGAAUAUUGGACAAUGGGCGAAAGCCUGAUCCAGCCAUGCCGCGUGAGUGAGGAAGGCCUUAGGGUUGUAAAGCUCUUUCACCCGCGACGAUGAUGACGGUAGCGGGAGAAGAGCCCGGCUAACUUCGUGCCAGCAGCCGC
This 444-nucleotide ribosomal RNA is filed under the name uncultured bacterium. RNAcentral describes it as "SSU rRNA". It matches the Rfam family "Bacterial small subunit ribosomal RNA", at positions 26 to 518 of the family's 1533-position model. The record is from RNAcentral.